This 433-nucleotide ribosomal RNA is filed under the name uncultured bacterium. RNAcentral describes it as "partial 16S ribosomal RNA". It matches the Rfam family "Bacterial small subunit ribosomal RNA", at positions 29 to 507 of the family's 1533-position model. The record is from RNAcentral.
AACGAACGCUGGCGGCAGGCCUAACACAUGCAAGUCGAGCGAGAACUUCGGUCCUAGCGGCGGACGGGUGAGUAACGCGUGGGAACGUGCCCUUUGCUUCGGAAUAGCCCUGGGAAACUGGGAGUAAUACCGGAUGAGCCCUUUGGGGGAAAGAUUUAUCGGCGAAGGAUCGGCCCGCGUUGGAUUAGGUAGUUGGUGGGGUAAUGGCCUACCAAGCCGACGAUCCAUAGCUGGUUUGAGAGGAUGAUCAGCCACACUGGGACUGAGACACGGCCCAGACUCCUACGGGAGGCAGCAGUGGGGAAUCUUAGACAAUGGGGGAAACCCUGAUCUAGCCAUGCCGCGUGAGCGAAGAAGGCCUUAGGGUUGUAAAGCUCUUUCAGCUGGGAAGAUAAUGACGGUACCAGCAGAAGAAGCCCCGGCUAACUCCGUG